AACCCAACAGCUCGCCUCCAAGAUCUAAAUUCAAUAAUCCAUAUUUAUAACCCCGAAUAUUCUGAUUUAAUUAACUAAAUCAUUCUUCCUCCUUAGUAAGUGUGACAGAACAGGAAAUAUGUGAGCGCCAUAGAAAAAGUACCGUAAGGGAACGCUGAAAGAGAAGUGAAAUAACCCAGUCAAGUACAGAAAAGCAGAGACUAGUUCUCGUACCUUUUGCAUCAUGAUUUAGCAAGUUUAUUCAAGCAAAAAGCAUUUUAGUUUGUUAUCCCGAAACUAGACGAGCUACUCCAGGACAGCCUAUUUAUAGGGCACACCCGUCUCUGUGGCAAAAGAGUGGGAGGAUCUUUGAGUAGAGGUGACAAACCUACCGAGCCUAGUUAUAGCUGGUUGCCUGGGAAUUAAAUAGAAGUUUAGCCUCUUGUCUUCUUAUGCCAAAUAUGGACACCCAAACCUCAGGUUUUGAGAAUACAUUGAGAGUUAGUCGGAAGGGGGACAGCCCUUCUGAAUAAAGAAACAACUUUUUUAACUGGAUAUUAAUCAUAAAUAUAUAAGGA
This 557-nucleotide ribosomal RNA is filed under the name Fundulus heteroclitus (mummichog). RNAcentral's name for it is "partial 16S large subunit ribosomal RNA". It matches the Rfam family "Bacterial large subunit ribosomal RNA", at positions 361 to 1073 of the family's 2925-position model. The record is from RNAcentral. Lineage: Eukaryota; Metazoa; Chordata; Actinopteri; Cyprinodontiformes; Fundulidae.